AGGAAUAUUGGUCAAUGGGCGCGAGCCUGAACCAGCCAAGUAGCGUGAAGGAUGAAGGUCCUAUGGAUUGUAAACUUCUUUUAUACGGGAAUAAAGUGGUCCACGUGUGGACUUUUGCAUGUACCGUAUGAAUAAGCAUCGGCUAACUCCGUGCCAGCAGCCGCGGUAAUACGGAGGAUGCGAGCGUUAUCCGGAUUUAUUGGGUUUAAAGGGAGCGCAGACGGGGGAUUAAGUCAGUUGUGAAAGUUUGCGGCUCAACCGUAAAAUUGCAGUUGAUACUGGUUCCCUUGAGUGCAGUUGAGGCAGGCGGAAUUCGUGGUGUAGCGGUGAAAUGCAUAGAUAUCACGAAGAACCCCGAUUGCGAAGGCAGCCUGCUAAGCUGUAACUGACGUUGAGGCUCGAAAGUGUGGGUAUCAAACAGGAUUAGAUACCCUGGUAGUCCACACGGUAAACGAUGGAUACUCGCUGUUGGCGAUAUACUGUCAGCGGCCAAGCGAAAGCAUUAAGUAUCCCACCUGGGGAGUACGCCGGCAACGGUGAAACUCAAAGGAAUUGACGGGGGCCCGCACAAGCGGAGGAACAUGUGGUUUAAUUCGAUGAUACGCGAGGAACCUUACCUGGGCUUAAAUUGCAGACGAAUUACCUGGAAACAGGUAAGCCGCAAGGCGUCUGUGAAGGUGCUGCAUGGUUGUCGUCAGCUCGUGCCGUGAGGUGUCGGCUUAAGUGCCAUAACGAGCGCAACCCUCGUGGCCAGUUACUAGCAGGUAACGCUGAGGACUCUGGCCAGACUGCCAUCGUAAGAUGCGAGGAAGGUGGGGAUGACGUCAAAUCAGCACGGCCCUUACGUCCGGGGCUACACACGUGUUACAAUGGGAGGUACAGAAGGCAGCUACCCGGCGACGGGAUGCCAAUCUCCAAAGCCUCUCUCAGUUCGGACUGGAGUCUGCAACCCGACUCCACGAAGCUGGAUUCGCUAGUAAUCGCGCAUCAGCCACGGCGCGGUGAAUACGUUCCCG
RNAcentral lists this ribosomal RNA (1016 nucleotides) under uncultured bacterium. Its description in RNAcentral is "bacterial SSU rRNA". It matches the Rfam family "Bacterial small subunit ribosomal RNA", at positions 357 to 1376 of the family's 1533-position model. The record is from RNAcentral.